CCGAGUUUACAACUCCCAAACCCAAUGUGAACCAUACCAAACUGUUGCCUCGGCGGGGUCACGCCCCGGGUGCGUCGCAGCCCCGGAACCAGGCGCCCGCCGGAGGGACCAACCAAACUCUUUUCUGUAGUCCCCUCGCGGACGUUAUUUCUUACAGCUCUGAGCAAAAAUUCAAAAUGAAUCAAAACUUUCAACAACGGAUCUCUUGGUUCUGGCAUCGAUGAAGAACGCAGCGAAAUGCGAUAAGUAAUGUGAAUUGCAGAAUUCAGUGAAUCAUCGAAUCUUUGAACGCACAUUGCGCCCGCCAGUAUUCUGGCGGGCAUGCCUGUCCGAGCGUCAUUUCAACCCUCGAACCCCUCCGGGGGGUCGGCGUUGGGGACCUCGGGAGCCCCUAAGACGGGAUCCCGGCCCCGAAAUACAGUGGCGGUCUCGCCGCAGCCUCUCCUGCGCAGUAGUUUGCACAACUCGCACCGGGAGCGCGGCGCGUCCACGUCCGUAAAACACCCAACUUUCUGAAAUGUUGACCUCGGAUCAGGUAGGAAUACCCGCUGAACUUAAGCAUAUAAA
This 567-nucleotide ribosomal RNA is filed under the name Trichoderma atroviride. RNAcentral's name for it is "eukaryotic LSU rRNA". The stretch from base 186 to 339 matches the Rfam family "5.8S ribosomal RNA". The record is from RNAcentral. Lineage: Eukaryota; Fungi; Ascomycota; Sordariomycetes; Hypocreales; Hypocreaceae.